GCCGCGGUCUUCCUGCUGGUCACGCUCUCCACGUCGCACAUUGCCUCCUCCCUUCGCCCCGGCCUCGGGGUCUGCCGUGCCAGCGGCUAUCUCCCAGGCAGGUCCGGCAACUGCGAGAAGAGCAAUGACCCGGAUUGUUGCGAAGACGAUAAGAGCUUCGAGAAGGGCAAGGAUGGCGGUGGCCCGUCAGAGUGCGACAACUCCUACCACAGCGACAAGGAACUGGUCGUUGCGCUCUCCACCGGCUGGUUCAAGAACAUGGCACGUUGCGGCCAUCGCAUCAAGAUCACCGCUAACGACAAGUCCGUGUAUGUCAAGGUGGUGGACGAGUGCGACUCCGUGUAUGGCUGUGACGCCGACCACAACUACGAGCCUCCGUGCGAUAAUAACAUCGUUGAUGCCUCACCGGCGGUGUGGAAUGCCCUGGGGCUCGACCAGAACGUCGGCAUGGAUGAGAUCACCUGGUCAGAGGAGUAA
This 477-nucleotide ribosomal RNA is filed under the name Triticum aestivum (bread wheat). RNAcentral describes it as "partial small subunit ribosomal RNA". Lineage: Eukaryota; Viridiplantae; Streptophyta; Magnoliopsida; Poales; Poaceae. The record is from RNAcentral.